AGUGAACGCUGGCGGUAGGCCUAACACAUGCAAGUCGAACGGCAGCACAGUAAGAGCUUGCUCUUACGGGUGGCGAGUGGCGGACGGGUGAGGAAUACAUCGGAAUCUACUUUUUCGUGGGGGAUAACGUAGGGAAACUUACGCUAAUACCGCAUACGACCUACGGGUGAACGCAGGGGAUCUUCGGACCUUGCGCGAUUGAAUGAGCCGAUGUCGGAUUAGCUAGUUGGCGGGGUAAAGGCCCACCAAGGCGACGAUCCGUAGCUGGUCUGAGAGGAUGAUCAGCCACACUGGAACUGAGACACGGUCCAGACUCCUACGGGAGGCAGCAGUGGGGAAUAUUGAACAAUGGGCGCAAGCCUGAUCCAGCCAUACCGCGUGGGUGAAGAAGGCCUUCGGGUUGUAAAGCCCUUUUGUUGGGAAAGAAAAGCAGCAGGUUAAUACCCCGCUGUUCUGACGGUACCCAAAGAAUAAGCACCGGCUAACUUCGUG
This 492-nucleotide ribosomal RNA is filed under the name uncultured bacterium. RNAcentral describes it as "partial 16S ribosomal RNA". It matches the Rfam family "Bacterial small subunit ribosomal RNA", at positions 29 to 507 of the family's 1533-position model. The record is from RNAcentral.